RNAcentral lists this long non-coding RNA (202 nucleotides) under Mytilus galloprovincialis (Mediterranean mussel). The record is from RNAcentral. Lineage: Eukaryota; Metazoa; Mollusca; Bivalvia; Mytilida; Mytilidae.
CAGGUAUUUCACAUCCAAUUUUUUAUGGAAAUAUUCUUUAUAAAGCACAAAGGUGUCAGUAUUCACAUCAAAAACUAACAAAACCUUUGAAUAGACUUAUUAAAAAGGGAUAUAGUUACGAUACUGUUGUCAGGUCAUUAAAGAUUGCAUAUUUUGGCGUUAAUAAUGAUUCACUUAUAGGGUCUUUGCAUCGGAACUAAAC